This 214-nucleotide ribosomal RNA is filed under the name Aureoumbra lagunensis. RNAcentral's name for it is "partial Bacterial large subunit ribosomal RNA". It matches the Rfam family "Bacterial large subunit ribosomal RNA", at positions 1536 to 1748 of the family's 2925-position model. The record is from RNAcentral. Lineage: Eukaryota; Pelagophyceae; Sarcinochrysidales; Sarcinochrysidaceae.
GCAAAUCCGUCGGGGCAUAACCAUGAGGUGUAAAACAGUAAGCCGAAUGGCUGAAAGCUGCUGAGUUCAUGCUGCCAAGAAAAACCUCUAAGGAGAGAUACGGGGAACCGUACCCCAAACCGACACAGGUAGACGAGGAGAAUAUCCAAAGGCGCUCGAGUGAAGGCUUGUUAAGGAACUCGGCAAAUUAGACCCGUAACUUCGGGAGAAGGGU